UGGCGGACGGGUGAGUAACGCGUGGAAAACCUGCCGUAUACUGGGGGAUAACACUUAGAAAUAGGUGCUAAUACCGCAUAAGCGCACAGCUUCGCAUGAAGCGGUGUGAAAAACUCUGGUGGUAUACGAUGGUUCCGCGUCUGGUUAGCUAGUUGGUGGGGUAAUGGCCUACCAAGGCAACGAUCAGUAGCCGGCCUGAGAGGGUGAACGGCCACAUUGGGACUGAGACACGGCCCAAACUCCUACGGAAGGCAGCAG
This 258-nucleotide ribosomal RNA is filed under the name uncultured bacterium. Its description in RNAcentral is "partial 16S ribosomal RNA". It matches the Rfam family "Bacterial small subunit ribosomal RNA", at positions 96 to 354 of the family's 1533-position model. The record is from RNAcentral.